GAUGAACGCUGGCGGCGUGCUUAACACAUGCAAGUCGAACGGUGAACACGGAGCUUGCUCUGUGGGAUCAGUGGCGAACGGGUGAGUAACACGUGAGCAACCUGCCCCUGACUCUGGGAUAAGCGCUGGAAACGGCGUCUAAUACUGGAUAUGUGACGUGACCGCAUGGUCUGCGUUUGGAAAGAUUUUUCGGUUGGGGAUGGGCUCGCGGCCUAUCAGCUUGUUGGUGAGGUAAUGGCUCACCAAGGCGUCGACGGGUAGCCGGCCUGAGAGGGUGACCGGCCACACUGGGACUGAGCCGCGGCCCAGACUCCUACGGGAGGCAGCAGUGGGGAAUAUUGCACAAUGGGCGCAAGCCUGAUGCAGCAACGCCGCGUGAGGGAUGACGGCCUUCGGGUUGUAAACCUCUUUUAGCAGGGAAGAAGCGAAAGUGACGGUACCUGCAGAAAAAGCGCCGGCUAACUACGUG
RNAcentral lists this ribosomal RNA (469 nucleotides) under uncultured bacterium. Its description in RNAcentral is "partial 16S ribosomal RNA". It matches the Rfam family "Bacterial small subunit ribosomal RNA", at positions 28 to 507 of the family's 1533-position model. The record is from RNAcentral.